RNAcentral lists this ribosomal RNA (433 nucleotides) under uncultured bacterium. RNAcentral's name for it is "partial 16S ribosomal RNA". It matches the Rfam family "Bacterial small subunit ribosomal RNA", at positions 29 to 507 of the family's 1533-position model. The record is from RNAcentral.
AACGAACGCUGGCGGCAUGCCUAACACAUGCAAGUCGAACGAGACCUUCGGGUCUAGUGGCGCACGGGUGCGUAACGCGUGGGAAUCUGCCCUUGGGUUCGGAAUAACAGUUGGAAACGACUGCUAAUACCGGAUGAUGACGUAAGUCCAAAGAUUUAUCGCCCAAGGAUGAGCCCGCGUAGGAUUAGCUAGUUGGUGAGGUAAAGGCUCACCAAGGCGACGAUCCUUAGCUGGUCUGAGAGGAUGAUCAGCCACACUGGGACUGCGACACGGCCCAGACUCGUACGGAAGGCAGCAGUAGGGAAUAUUGGACGAGGGGCGAAAGCCUGAUACAGCAAUGCCGCGUGAGUGAUGAAGGCCUUAGGGUUGUAAAGCUCUUUUACCCGGGAUGAUAAUGACAGUACCGGGAGAAUAAGCACCGGCUAACUCCGUG